CCUACGGGAGGCUGCAGUGGGGGAUAUUGCACAUUGGGGGAAACCCUGAUCCAGCGACGCCGCGUGUGGGAAGACGGUCCUCUGGAUUGUAAACCACUGUCCCCAGGGACGAAGAUGCCGGUACCUGGGGCGGAAGCUCCGGCCAACUACGUGCCAGCAGCUGCGGUAAUACGUAGGGAGCGAGCGUUGUCCGGAAUUACUGGGUGUAAGGGGUGCGUAGGCGGGGAUGCAAGUUGGGUGUCAAAACUACGGGCUCAACUGGUAGUCGCACUCAAAACUGCAGCUCUUGAGUGAAGUAGAGGCAGGCGGAAUUCCUAGUGUAGCGGUGAAAUGCGUAGAUAUUAGGAGGAACACCAGUGGCGAAGGCGGCCUGCUGGGCUUUUACUGACGCUGAGGCUCGAAAGUGUGGGGAGCAAACAGGAUUAGAUACCCGUGUAGUC
Molecule: ribosomal RNA, 440 nt
Filed under: uncultured bacterium
Lineage: Bacteria
Description: partial 16S ribosomal RNA
Rfam family: Bacterial small subunit ribosomal RNA
Source: RNAcentral